GACGAACGCUGGCGGCGUGCUUAACACAUGCAAGUCGAACGGAAAGGCCUGCUUUCCCUUGUGGAUUGCGGGUACUCGAGUGGCGAACGGGUGAGUAACACGUGAGUGAUCUGCCCCCAACUUGGGUAUAAGCCUGGGAAACUGGGUCUAAUUCCCGAUAGGACUGCAGGGUGGUGCCUGUGGUGGAAAACGAUUUUCUAGUGGUUGGGGAUGAGCUCGCGGCCUAUCAGCUUGUUGGUGGGGUAAUGGCCUACCAAGGCGGCGACGGGUAGCCGGCCUGGGAGGGUGGACGGCCACAUUGGGACUGAGAUACGGCCCAGACUCCUACGGGAGGCAGCAGUGGGGAAUAUUGCACAAUGGGCGGAAGCCUGAUGCAGCGACGCCGCGUGGGGGAUGACGGACUUCGGGUUGUAAACUCCUUUCGACCGCGAGGAAGCCACCUGGUUGGAAGGGUGGUGACGGUAGUGGUAGAAGAAGCACCGGCUAACUACGUG
RNAcentral lists this ribosomal RNA (494 nucleotides) under uncultured bacterium. RNAcentral describes it as "partial 16S ribosomal RNA". It matches the Rfam family "Bacterial small subunit ribosomal RNA", at positions 28 to 507 of the family's 1533-position model. The record is from RNAcentral.